This is an RNA transcript of Cavia porcellus (domestic guinea pig), 1170 nucleotides long. It is a transcript of the gene named coiled-coil-helix-coiled-coil-helix domain containing 6, with no coding region annotated. The transcript is spliced from 10 exons. Lineage: Eukaryota; Metazoa; Chordata; Mammalia; Rodentia; Caviidae. The record is from RefSeq and is a predicted model, not a curated record.
GGUUUUGUUGUUCGGGCCGCGGCCGUCUGAGUCAGGAGGCGCUCAGCGCGGCGUCUGCUGGUUGCUCUGGAGUCGGGUAGCGUGGUCGUCUGCCCGCCUACCUGCCGGUCUGCCCGCCUCAGGCCAUGGGGAGCACUGAGAGCAGCGAGGGUCGCAGGGUGUCCUUCGGAAUGGACGAGGAGGAGCGGGUCCGGGUGCUGCAGGGCAUCCGGCUGUCUGAGAACGUGGUCCAUCGCAUGAAGGAUUCCAGCCCACCUGCAGAAGGUCAGCAGCCAGCUCCUCAGCAAGAACCCAGACUUCCCAGGUCUGAGACCAAUGAUGGCCAGCAGCUCUUGGGAGUGAAGGAGGACCUCAAGAGGUUCAGACAGGAGCAGGCUACCGUCCAGGAUGAGCUGUUCCAGGUGGUGAAGCGGGAAAGAGAGGCAGCUGCCAAGCACUUGCCAUUGGCCCCGCCUGUGGUGGAGAGUGGUACUGAUCAGGAGGAGCAGCAGUCAGCCCGGCUGGCCAGGGAGCUGGGAAGCAAAGAGGCAGAACUCAGACGCUGUGAUACCUUCUUCCAGGAGCAGCUGGGGCACAUCGAGAGGAAGGAGCAGACAAGAGGCUGUGCAGAGGCAAAACAAGAAAAAGGGAAAUGCAGGACGCAGGCAAAGGAGCCAGAGCCCAGAAGAGCAAAAGCCGAGAUGUAUAAACUGUCCUCACAGCAAUUCCACGAGGCAGCUUCGAAAGCAGAGAACACAAUCAAGAUCUGUUUUGGUAGCUUUUUCUGUACACCAGAGGAGAAUGUAUGCUUUGGCAUCUUACUCCAUCAGGCCCCGCAGGGUGGAGCCCGUGUGCUCAGGGCUGCAGGCCCAGAUCCUUCGCUGCUACCGUGACCACGCACACGAGGUGCUGCUGUGCUCGGACCUGGUCAAGGCCUACCAGCGCUGCGUGUGUGCGAGUGCUGCCCACAAGGGCUGAGGAGCAGCUACCACAUCUGGUACCAGGGACCAGCUUGCAGCUGUGACCAAAAGACCAGCCACGGGACCACAGACACAGACUGCAGGCCAUGCCACCGUGCCCUGCCCUUCCUGAGGGCAUUGCAUAUCCUCUGAGCACGGCCACCAUGUAUUUAGGAAACAGCAUGUGCUGCUGUCUGAAAACAAAUAAAGCAGAUGCCUUUGUUUUCAGUCA